AACGAACGCUGGCGGCGUGGAUAAGACAUGCAAGUCGAACGGGAGUUUGUUUAUAGCAAUAUGAGUGAACUCUAGUGGCGAAAGGGUGCGUAACACGUAGCUACCUACCUCGAAGUUGGGGAUAGCUCGGCGAAAGCCGGAUUAAUACCGGAUGUGAUCGUGAGAUCAAAGCUGGGGAUCGUAAGACCUGGCGCUUUGAGAUGGGGCUGCGGCCUAUCAGCAGUUGGCGGGUAACGGCCCACCAAGCUUAGACGGGCAGCUGGUCUGAGAGGACGACCAGCCACACUGGAACUGAGACACGGUCCAGACACCUACGGGUGGCAGCAGUCGAGGUAUUUUUCUCAAUGGGGGAAACCCUGAAGGAGCGACGCCGCGUGA
Molecule: ribosomal RNA, 378 nt
Filed under: uncultured bacterium
Lineage: Bacteria
Description: bacterial SSU rRNA
Rfam family: Bacterial small subunit ribosomal RNA
Source: RNAcentral